UUGCUUUUGUUUUCUGUCGCUUUUCCACCCCGAAAACUCGAAGGAUUUUGGCGACUCCGGCGACGGCCCAUGUUCGAUUCUUUCUCGGCUUCGAUCUCAUUCUAAGGAAUCGAAACCCUAGUUCUUUGAUCUCUGCAUCGCCUUCCUCCGAUGGCGUCCGAUGGGUACUGGAGGUACAGCGACCCACGAUACCAGCCGGCGCAGCCGGCUCCUUCUGUGACCUUGAAGCGUCCUCGGACCGAUUAUGGUGAAAUUCCGGGUGGAUCGGCAAUUCCUGGUUAUUACCCCCGUGAGGAAGAGCAUAUCGGACACUUUUCCAGAGAAAAUGAGUACAUUGAAGCAUCCUAUGAUCGUUAUUUACAAAAUGGGAUUUCUUCAUAUGGAAGUGGGGAUUCUGUUAGGUCUGUCACUGGUGGUGUUCGUGGUCAUCCUGUCGAUGAUCCGCUUAGGCCUGUUGCUGGUAGUGUUCGUGGUCAUCUUGUUGAUGAUCCACUUAGGUCUGUUGCUGGUGGUGUUCGUGGUCAUCCUGUUGAUGAUCCACGUCUGAUUGGUGUCGGGGGUGUAGAUGGUCGGGCUGUUGGAUAUAGAAGUGGAAGAUCUGAAACAUCUCUUCCUCCAGAUGCCUCAAAUACUCUAUUUGUUGAGGGCCUCCCUUCAAAUUGCACCAGGAGAGAAGUGUCUCAUGUUUUUCGUCCUUUUGUAGGUUUUCGAGAAGUUAGACUUGUGAGCAAGGAAUCCCGACAUCCUGGAGGAGAUCCCCUUAUUCUAUGCUUUGUUGAUUUCUCCACUGCUAGUCAAGCUGCAGUUGCUUUGGAAGCCUUGCAAGUGGCAUGAGGAAAACAUGUUAGACGAUGAAGAGAAGUUUAUUAUGCUGGAAUGAGAAUAAUUCCUUAAAAAAAGAGAGGAGUUUCUCCCUCAUCAAUAGCUUGGUGAUGAGCUCGUCAAGUCCAGCUUCCAGAAAGGUAACAAGAAGGGAAUGAUGGCUGGUGUCCCUAACACUUAUAUUUGAAAGGGAGACUUGUAGAUGACAUGCACUUCUGCUCAAAACAUAGAGUUAUCUCAGUCAGCUAAAGGCUUUGUUCUUUUCUCCGAUAUCACUAAUAGGUUGCUCUCCAUCAGAAUGUCUAUGGAGAUUUGCAAAAAUGAUCCUGAUGCUCCCUGCUUCAAGCAUAGAUUGAGAGUUCUGGUUGUGAAUGGCUACAAGUCUAACAAGGCCCUCGUGGUGGCAUACAUUAUAGGAGUUGGUGUCAAGAGUCUUGUGGCAGAUAAUGCAAAAGAGGUUUAGGAGCUCAUGCGCAAAGGAGCUACAUGACUUGAUUAUUUGAUCACCAUGGACAAGGAAAUGCUCACAAGCAUUCUCCUCUCAUACAUGCAACCUUGAAUAAUGAGCAACACUUUGGAAGUAAAAAGCAAUUGUGGUUUUUUCUCUGUUUUGUUGUUAAAUAGGCAAGAAGGAGGCCGAGGGCCUUGGGAAUUCCCACGGCGAUAGUCGUGAUGGGCUUGGACAAUAUGAGGGAGGUGGAGCUUGCGGUCCUGUAUGGUGGAGUGCGUGACUUCUUUCCAAAGCCAGUCAAGUGGGUGAUGCUCAUCUCUCUUGGAGAAAUUGAUAUUGAAAUAUGACAGAAAAUAAAAAAGCCCACUGCAGGCCCAGAACAACAUGAGGAUGUUGUCUUGAAUAAGAAAUUUUUCAUGUGCUAAUUUCUGGGGCACAACAUUUUUGUAACUUUGCCAACAAAAACGAAGGAAGAACAAACCAUCAUGUUAUCUUCUCACCUGUUUUUUUCCAAAUGGUCAAUGCUUAUGUGGUGCGAAGGUUGAAUUAGUAAAACUAGAACUUGAUAAAAAGGAAAUAAAGAUGAUAGUUUUCCUGUACGGUUUUUUAUUUUUUAUUUUUUUAUUUUAUUGAUAUGAAAACUUAGCAGGGACUUAGAACGAUUGGACCUCAACUCUUAAGUGGAAAUGGGGAACCUGCAAGUAGCUGAUACCUGUGGUUGAA
This is an RNA transcript of Dioscorea cayenensis subsp. rotundata (Guinea yam), 1996 nucleotides long. It is a transcript of the gene named RNA-binding protein 1-like, with no coding region annotated. The transcript has 9 exons. The record is from RefSeq and is a predicted model, not a curated record. NCBI's taxonomy places the organism in Eukaryota, Viridiplantae, Streptophyta, Magnoliopsida, Dioscoreales, Dioscoreaceae.